AUUGAACGCUGGCGGAAUGCUUUACACAUGCAAGUCGAACGGUAGAGGGGGCAACCCCUUGAGAGUGGCGAACGGGUGAGUAAUAUAUCGGAACGUGCCCAGUCGUGGGGGAUAACGUAGUGAAAAUUACGCUAAUACCGCAUACGAUCUAAGGAUGAAAGCGGGGGAUCGCAAGACCUCGCGCGAUUGGAGCGGCCGAUAUCAGAUUAGGUAGUUGGUAGGGUAAAGGCCUACCAAGCCAACGAUCUGUAGCUGGUCUGAGAGGACGACCAGCCACACUGGAACUGAGACACGGUCCAGACUCCUACGGGAGGCAGCAGUGGGGAAUUUUGGACAAUGGGCGAAAGCCUGAUCCAGCCAUUCCGCGUGCAGGAUGAAGGCCCUCGGGUUGUAAACUGCUUUUGUACAGAACGAAAAGGUCUCUAUUAAUACUAGGGGCUCAUGACGGUACUGUAAGAAUAAGCACCGGCUAACUACGUGCCAGCCGCCGCCGUAA
Molecule: ribosomal RNA, 496 nt
Filed under: uncultured bacterium
Lineage: Bacteria
Description: partial 16S ribosomal RNA
Rfam family: Bacterial small subunit ribosomal RNA
Source: RNAcentral